UACGAACCGUCCAAACGUUAUUCGGAAUUACUGGGCUUAAAGGGUGCGUAGGCGGCCAUGUAAGUGAGGUGUGAAAUCCCUCGGCUCAACCGAGGAACUGCGCUUCAUACUGCAUGGCUUGAGGGAGACAGGGGUAAGCGGAACUGAUGGUGGAGCGGUGAAAUGCGUUGAUAUCAUCAGGAACACCGGUGGCGAAAGCGGCUUACUGGGUCUCUUCUGACGCUGAGGUACGAAAGCUAGGGUAGCGAACGGG
Molecule: ribosomal RNA, 253 nt
Filed under: uncultured bacterium
Lineage: Bacteria
Description: partial 16S ribosomal RNA
Rfam family: Bacterial small subunit ribosomal RNA
Source: RNAcentral